CAGAGCAGUAAGGCGAAGAAAGAGAAGAGAAGGAGCGUCUGAACGUCAAGAGGAGUUCAGCUGGGGAUGGCCAAACUCCAGGGGAAGAUCAUCUUCUCACUACAUCCCCUUUCCAGCUCCCCAUCCAUCCCACUGAGAGCCACCUCCAUCAGUCAAUAAAAUCCCUGCAUUCACCAUCCUUCAAGUUCACAUGACCCGAUUCUUCCUGGAUGCCAGACAAGGACCCGGGUACUAAGAGGACAGGGUGUAAAAAGCUGUCUGACUCUCCACUAAACUGGUUAACGCUUAGCUGUCUGGGGAUGGCAACUGCUAAAAGGGUAUUCAUUCUAACACUUCCCUAGAGGCUACUGAUACUGAAGUGCUGGGAAGGAAAGAGCAUGGUCCUUUUAAAUGAUAUGGAAGUGGGGAAUGGAAGGGCUGGGUAGAGGAGGGCAUGGUGCCUGGCUAGGACUCUACCCCCACAGACCUAGGUGAGGACAGGCACAUCUGUCUUUGUGCCCAAAUGUUGCAUUUUCCAAGACCACUCUGGCCUGCCACACCCCCAUCCUGUGCCUAUAAAAACCCCUGAAACCCUAGCAGUCAGAUACACAAGUGGCUGGACAUUGUGAGGAACACAUUGGUGGAAAAAGACACAGGUGGCUGGACGUUGAGAGGACAUCGAGGGGAGCACUCUGGCGGAAGAGCACACCAACAGAUGCCAGCAUGCCGCAGGCCAUUGACCAGCAGAAUGACACAGAGUUUGGCUGGGGCAGUCAGAGGAGAGCCCAGGUCCCUGAGCUGCCUGACUCCAGGAAAAAGCCAUCUCCCUUCUGGCUCCCCCAUCUGCUGAGAGCUACUUGUACUCAAUAAAACCUUGAACUCAUUCUCCAAGCCCACAUGCGAUCCAGUUCUUCCAGUACACCAAGGUAAGAAACUCCGGGAUACAGAAAUCCCUCUGUCCUUGUGAUAAGGAAGAGAGUCUAAUUGAGCUAACACAAGCCACCUGCAGAUGGCUAAAUUAAAAAAGCGCCCUGUAACACAUGCCCACUGGGGCUUUAGGAGCUAUAAACACUCACCCCUACACACUGCCAUGAGGUUGCAGCCCCACAACCUGCCCGUCUGUAUGCUCCCCUAGAGGUUUGAGCAGUGGGGCACUGAAGAAGCAAGCCACUCCCCUGUCACACGCCCUGUGAGGGGGACAAGGGAACUUUUCCUGUUUCACUACUAUGCGGCUGGAGCCCAAAAGCACUCAUCCCAGCUCCUGCACCUGUCUGUCUGCAUGUUUCCCCCUCUUGUAAGGGGUUUGAGUACAUGGUGGCCAAGCAAACAGGCCACACCCUUGUUGCAAGUCCCGCGAGAGGUUCAGAGAACUCUCCCGUUUCACUCCUGCCUCAGGCCUCAGCCACCACAGUAAGUGGAACUCUAUACCUCCACCUCGCCUGGCUGGGUGGAGCCUCUAAACUCAGGAUUCUGCCUUGAGCUGUGGCUCUCCCCUCAGGUUGACAGGGUCCAGAGCAAAACCUACGGAAGAAGCUGCAGAGGCCAGGUGGAGGGAAGGAUGCUGAACUGGAGGAGGCCAGGAAAUUAUGAGGUGAUUCUAAGCACAUUAAAAUCUGGAUGACACUUAUCUGAAUCAUUUCGCAACUUGGAGAGAGAUGGAGAAGACACGCAUGGUGUAACUGGGCAUCACCAGAAUGUGCACUGCCAUCUGUGGCUGUCUUCCUGCUGGCAAAUCCUUUUCAUUCCAAGCAAAUAAGAUUCCCUAAAUUAGACAAAAAGGAAGAAACACAACAGAGUCCAUAAUUCUGAGAGGAAGAGAAGAGUGAUCAUCAGCAGCAAAAGGCAAUUGCAGAGAAGCACCACCAAGAGCCAGCUUCAUGCUCAGGAGUGAAUGCUGAGCCGCCUCCUCGUGGUUUCCGGUGCUCCACAUGUUCAGAGAAACUUCUCUGCACCUCUCCAGAUUGACAAAGUCUCCUGACAAUUACUGAUCAGUCACAUCUACAAAUGUUUGUAGCAUUCUGAGGUGUGACUUAUCUACAUCUUGGGAAAUACAUUUCUGCAAUUAAUUAAUUACUGAUUAAUGGAGCAACUACAGAAAAUAUUCAAAUCGAAGAAAGGAAGGUGGACAAGGGAAAGGAUGGAAAGAUGAGUAUGACCCAGUCCUGUACUGAAGAUGAACAGACUGGACGUCGAAACAUAAAUAAAAUACAUUGACAAAUGCUGAGACGACCUAGUCUGAGAAGCACUGUACUGUGGGCUGGUAUCAAGGCUUAGUGGGCACCGGGACGGGAGCCACUUUUGCCUGGGAAAAUAAGGUCACUGAGCAUUGGAGGACAAAUAGAGUUUGUGAUGUGUUGUGGGACAUGUCACAGAUGCCUCAUGGCUAUAAGAUAAAAGUGCUCUGCUGGGGAGACUGGCUGAGGUAGUGGUUACGAAAUUGGGAACAGAGAGUGGAGGGCCAAGCUAAACAGCGGGGACCUCAGACACUUCAUUGGAUAAACCCAGCGGUUAAGUCCCUACAGGUUCUCAAGCAGGGAGUGCUGUGGCCCACAAUGGAACUUUCCCUUUGUGGAGUAUUAAUUGAAGAUGAGAGUGUGUGGGGCUGGAGCCUGGAGGCUCUCUGCUUCUCACCUUUUCCAGAUAAAGUUUUCUUCUGCACUUUGAAAACCCUUUCUUGUUGGAAGGCAACUUCCCAUUGUAAAGAAACUCUGGCUGGUGUCCUCUAAGCACAUUUACUUUGGAGAGGUGUAGGAUUAGCAUUUUCACUGAAAUAGUUUUUGUUUCUAAAAGGGCUUACUUUAAGUGGUUAAAACCUCCUUUUUCCCUCAAGCCAUUGCACAAUAUCGAUCACAGUAUUUGUUCAUUUAGCAGAUCUUUUCUUCCUGUGGCCACAAUGAAGGUCAGUGUUGAGCUUUAAUGCAGUCCCUGUCCAAAUGAUGAUCAAUUUCAAAGGAAUAAGAAAUAAAAAUUGAGCUAGCAGUAUUAAAAAAUGAAUUUUGACUAUGAUUAUUCGUAAAAGCAGUGCAAUCAUG
RNAcentral lists this long non-coding RNA (3011 nucleotides) under Homo sapiens (human). RNAcentral describes it as "HSALNT0130345". The record is from RNAcentral. Lineage: Eukaryota; Metazoa; Chordata; Mammalia; Primates; Hominidae.